RNAcentral lists this small nucleolar RNA (84 nucleotides) under Corchorus olitorius. RNAcentral describes it as "Small nucleolar RNA SNORD24". It matches the Rfam family "Small nucleolar RNA SNORD24". From Rfam's summary of the family: U24 is a member of the C/D class of snoRNA which contain the C (UGAUGA) and D (CUGA) box motifs. C/D box snoRNAs have been shown to act as methylation guides for a number of RNA targets. Lineage: Eukaryota; Viridiplantae; Streptophyta; Magnoliopsida; Malvales; Malvaceae. The record is from Rfam by way of RNAcentral.
GGCCUGUGAUGUUAGAAAAUAUUUGCUACUCUUGAUGGGAUUUCCCCAUCUGAUGAUUUUUUUUCCACCAAGAUCUCUGAGGCC